UUUUGAUAAACUCCCCUCCAAAUCUCAACAUCUUCACUUUAGUGUCUUUUAUAGUUUUUGUAAUUUUUAUUUAUGGUAUAUUCCCUCGAUUGGCCUAUUUAUGGCCUAUUCUCUCAUUUUAGUGCCUUGCAGUUGCUACCGGAAAGACUAAAGCCAACUUCAUAAACUUAUAAACCAUAUCGAAUAUAUUGCACUUAUCUAUUUCCACAAAUUUUGCACAAAUAUCCAAUAGUCCUUCCCAUGAAUU
Molecule: long non-coding RNA, 247 nt
Filed under: Lathyrus oleraceus (garden pea)
Lineage: Eukaryota; Viridiplantae; Streptophyta; Magnoliopsida; Fabales; Fabaceae
Description: Pisum sativum (pea) long non-coding RNA (PSAT_LNC023316)
Source: RNAcentral